Molecule: non-coding RNA, 262 nt
Organism: Maylandia zebra (zebra mbuna)
Lineage: Eukaryota; Metazoa; Chordata; Actinopteri; Cichliformes; Cichlidae
Source: RefSeq, a predicted model, not a curated record
ACAAUCAGAACUGUGAAAACUAAAUUGAUGAGCGUGUUUGCCACUAAAUUUGCCCGGGAUGUAGAUGCAGAAACUCUUGCUCCGUUAAGGUCUUUUGUUUACACGGAUGAUCAAUGACAGCGUGAAGGUGAAGCAGGCUUUUAGCCGAGUCAUCAUGAAGUGUUCACUGGAGCCUUUUGUGGCUGGUAUCUGGAAUUGGUUGGAUUAUAGGAACUCGAUAAGGGCUAUGACACCAACAGAGUAAAUUCACAGACUCCGCCCC